RNAcentral lists this ribosomal RNA (254 nucleotides) under uncultured bacterium. Its description in RNAcentral is "partial 16S ribosomal RNA". It matches the Rfam family "Bacterial small subunit ribosomal RNA", at positions 524 to 777 of the family's 1533-position model. The record is from RNAcentral.
UACAGAGGGUGCGAGCGUUGUCCGGAAUCACUGGGCGUAAAGGGCGCGUAGGUGGCCCGACAAGUCAAUGGUGAAAGCUCGACGCUCAACGUCGAGUCGGCCACUGAUACUGUUGGGCUGGAGCACUGUAGAGGCAGAUGGAAUUCCGGGUGUAGCGGUGGAAUGCGUAGAGAUCCGGAAGAACACCGGUGGCGAAGGCGGUCUGCUGGGCAGUUGCUGACACUGAGGCGCGACAGCGUGGGGAGCAAACAGGG